This 354-nucleotide ribosomal RNA is filed under the name uncultured Rhodobacterales bacterium. RNAcentral describes it as "bacterial SSU rRNA". It matches the Rfam family "Bacterial small subunit ribosomal RNA", at positions 1129 to 1502 of the family's 1533-position model. The record is from RNAcentral. Lineage: Bacteria; Pseudomonadati; Pseudomonadota; Alphaproteobacteria; Rhodobacterales.
AGUUGGGCACUCUAGAAAAACUGCCGGUGAUAAGCCGGAGGAAGGUGUGGAUGACGUCAAGUCCUCAUGGCCCUCACGGGUUGGGCUACACACGUGCUACAAUGGUGGUGACAAUGGGUUAAUCCCAAAAAGCCAUCUCAGUUCGGAUUGGGGUCUGCAACUCGACCCCAUGAAGUCGGAAUCGCUAGUAAUCGCGUAACAGCAUGACGCGGUGAAUACGUUCCCGGGCCUUGUACACACCGCCCGUCACACCAUGGGAAUUGGGUCUACCCGAAGGUGGUGCGCCAACCUGCAAAGGAGGCAGCCAACCACGGUAGGCUCAGUGACUGGGGUGAAGUCGUAACAAGGUAACCG